ACGGGAGGCAGCAGUGAGGAAUAUUGGUCAAUGGACGGAAGUCUGAACCAGCCAAGUCGCGUGAAGGAUGAAGGCCCUACGGGUUGUAAACUUCUUUUGCAGGAGGAUAAACAGCGGGACGUGUCCCGCCUUGAAGGUAUCCUGCGAAUAAGGGUCGGCUAACUCCGUGCCAGCAGCCGCGGUAAUACGGAGGACCCGAGCGUUAUCCGGAUUUAUUGGGUUUAAAGGGUGCGCAGGCGGGCUGGUAAGUCAGCGGUGAAAUCUCCGGGCUCAACUCGGAAACUGCCGUUGAUACUGUCGGUCUUGAGUCAUGUCGAGGAUGGCGGAAUGCAGCGUGUAGCGGUGAAAUGCUUAGAUAUGCUGCAGAACUCCGAUUGCGAAGGCAGCUGUCCAGAGAUGUACUGACGCUGAGGCACGAAAGCAUGGGUAUCAAACAGGAUUAGAUACCCUGGUA
Molecule: ribosomal RNA, 454 nt
Filed under: uncultured Porphyromonadaceae bacterium
Lineage: Bacteria; Pseudomonadati; Bacteroidota; Bacteroidia; Bacteroidales; Porphyromonadaceae
Description: partial 16S ribosomal RNA
Rfam family: Bacterial small subunit ribosomal RNA
Source: RNAcentral